RNAcentral lists this ribosomal RNA (578 nucleotides) under Callophyllis crenulata. RNAcentral describes it as "eukaryotic LSU rRNA". It matches the Rfam family "Eukaryotic large subunit ribosomal RNA", at positions 364 to 1028 of the family's 3401-position model. Lineage: Eukaryota; Rhodophyta; Florideophyceae; Gigartinales; Kallymeniaceae. The record is from RNAcentral.
AUGACAAGCACUUUGAAAAGAGGGUGAAAAGAGCCUGAAACCGUCAUGGGGGAAGCGGAUUGCGUUGUAUUGAUGGGUUGCCGUGUGUUCAGCCGUUUUGGUGUAUUGGCACGGUAGCUUAUCUGUCGUGGGUUUCAGAUGGCUGAUUUUGAGCUGUUUGGGGCUGAGGGCUCCCCGUUUGGGUGAGGACGACAGAGUGAUGACGCGAUACGACCCGUCUUGAAACACGGACCAAGGAGUCUAGCGCGGUUGCGAGUCGAAGGGUGCAAGCCUGAAGGCGUAGUGAAAGCGAGUUGAAAACGAGCAGUUUGGGGCGGCAUAGGAUCGUUGAUUCUAAGUCUGACCUUGAGCAAUUGCGCUGGGACCCGAAAGAUGGUGAACUAUGCCGGAGUAGGGCAAAGCCAGAGGAAACUCUGGUGGAGGCUCGUAGCGGUGCUGACGUGCAAAUCGCUCGUCGAACUUGGGUAUAGGGGCGAAAGACUAAUCGAACCAUCUAGUAGCUGGUUCCCUCCGAAGUUUCUCUCAGGAUAGCGGGCCGACAUGUGUUGUUUUGUGCGGUAAAGCGUGGAUUUUUAGGA